AUUGAACGCUGGCGGCAUGCCUAACACAUGCAAGUCGAACGGUAACAGGCCUUCGGGCGCUGACGAGUGGCGGACGGGUGAGUAACGCGUGGGAAUCUGCCUAGUAGUGGGGGACAACCUGGGGAAACUCGUGCUAAUACUGUAUAUUACUCUACGGAGGAAAGUAAGGGACCUUAUGGCCUUACGCUGAUGGAUGAGCCUGCGUCGGAUUAGCUAGUUGGUGGGGUAAAGGCCUACCAAGGCGACGAUCCGUAGCUGUUCUGAGAGGAUGACCAGCCACACUGGAACUGAGACACGGUCCAGACUCCUACGGGAGGCAGCAGUGGGGAAUAUUGCACAAUGGGCGCAAGCCUGAUGCAGCCAUGCCGCGUGUGUGAAGAAGGCCUUAGGGUUGUAAAGCACUUUCAGCAGUGAGGAAAGGGGUGUCGUUAAUAGCGCCAUCCUGUGACGUUAACUGCAGAAGAAGGACCGGCUAACUCCGUG
This 483-nucleotide ribosomal RNA is filed under the name uncultured bacterium. RNAcentral's name for it is "bacterial SSU rRNA". It matches the Rfam family "Bacterial small subunit ribosomal RNA", at positions 30 to 507 of the family's 1533-position model. The record is from RNAcentral.